AUUGAACGCUGGCGGCAGGCCUAACACAUGCAAGUCGAACGAGUGGCGGACGGGUGAGUAAUGUCUGGGAAACUGCCCGCUGGAGGGGGAUAACUACUGGAAACGGUAGCUAAUACCGCAUACCAUCGGAUGUGCCCAGAUGGGAUUAGCUAGUAGGUGGGGUAAAGGCUCACCUGGGGGACGAUCCCUCGCUGGUCUGAGAGGAUGACCAGCAACACUGGAACGGAAACACGGUCCAGAUUCCUCGGGUAGGCAGCGGGGGGGAAUAUUGCCCAAUGGGCGCAAGCCUGAUGAAGCCAUGCCGCGUGUAUGAAGAAGGCCUUCGGUUUGUAAAGUCCUUUCAGCGAGGAGGCGUUACUCGCAGAAGAAGCACCGGCUAACUCCGUGCCAGCAGCGCGGUAAUUC
Molecule: ribosomal RNA, 405 nt
Filed under: uncultured bacterium
Lineage: Bacteria
Description: partial 16S ribosomal RNA
Rfam family: Bacterial small subunit ribosomal RNA
Source: RNAcentral